RNAcentral lists this ribosomal RNA (450 nucleotides) under uncultured bacterium. Its description in RNAcentral is "partial 16S ribosomal RNA". It matches the Rfam family "Bacterial small subunit ribosomal RNA", at positions 354 to 796 of the family's 1533-position model. The record is from RNAcentral.
GUGGGGAAUAUUGGACAAUGGGCGAAAGCCUGAUCCAGCCAUGCCGCGUGCAGGAUGAAGGCCUUCGGGUUGUAAACUGCUUUUGUACGGAACGAAACGGUCCGGGUUAAUACCCUGGGCUAAUGACGGUACCGUAAGAAUAAGCACCGGCUAACUACGUGCCAGCAGCCGCGGUAAUACGUAGGGUGCAAGCGUUAAUCGGAAUUACUGGGCGUAAAGCGUGCGCAGGCGGUGCUGUAAGACAGGCGUGAAAUCCCCGGGCUCAACCUGGGAAUUGCGCUUGUGACUGCAGUGCUGGAGUGCGGCAGAGGGGGAUGGAAUUCCGCGUGUAGCAGUGAAAUGCGUAGAUAUGCGGAGGAACACCGAUGGCGAAGGCAAUCCCCUGGGCCUGCACUGACGCUCAUGCACGAAAGCGUGGGGAGCAAACAGGAUUAGAUACCCUUGUAGUCC